Molecule: ribosomal RNA, 492 nt
Filed under: uncultured bacterium
Lineage: Bacteria
Description: partial 16S ribosomal RNA
Rfam family: Bacterial small subunit ribosomal RNA
Source: RNAcentral
AGUGAACGCUGGCGGUAGGCCUAACACAUGCAAGUCGAACGGCAGCACAGUAAGAGCUUGCUCUUACGGGUGGCGAGUGGCGGACGGGUGAGGAAUACAUCGGAAUCUACUUUUUCGUGGGGGAUAACGUAGGGAAACUUACGCUAAUACCGCAUACGACCUACGGGUGAAAGCAGGGGAUCUUCGGACCUUGCGCGAUUGAAUGAGCCGAUGUCGGAUUAGCUAGUUGGCGGGGUAAAGGCCCACCAAGGCGACGAUCCGUAGCUGGUCUGAGAGGAUGAUCAGCCACACUGGAACUGAGACACGGUCCAGACUCCUACGGGAGUCAGCAGUGGGGAAUAUUGGACAAUGGGCGAAAGCCUGAUCCAGCCAUACCGCGUGGGUGAAGAAGGCCUUCGGGUUGUAAAGCCCUUUUGUUGGGAAAGAAAAGCAGCAGGUUAAUACCCCGCUGUUCUGACGGUACCCAAAGAAUAAGCACCGGCUAACUUCGUG